This 492-nucleotide ribosomal RNA is filed under the name uncultured bacterium. RNAcentral's name for it is "partial 16S ribosomal RNA". It matches the Rfam family "Bacterial small subunit ribosomal RNA", at positions 30 to 507 of the family's 1533-position model. The record is from RNAcentral.
CGAACGCUGGCGGCGUGCUUAACACAUGCAAGUCGGACGGUGAAGCGCCUUCCUUUUUGGUGGGUGUGGAUGAGUGGCGAACGGGUGAGUAACACGUGAGUAACCUGCCCCCUUCUUCUGGAUAACCGCAUGAAAGUGUGGCUAAUACGGGAUAUUCUGGGUCUGUCGCAUGAUGGGUCUGGGAAAGAUAUUGUUUCGGUGGGGGAUGGGCUCGCGGCCUAUCAGCUUGUUGGUGGGGUGAUGGCCUACCAAGGCGGUGACGGGUAGCCGGCCUGAGAGGGUGGACGGUCACACUGGGACUGAGACACGGCCCAGACUCCUACGGGAGGCAGCAGUGGGGAAUAUUGCACAAUGGGCGCAAGCCUGAUGCAGCGACGCCGCGUGAGGGAUGGAGGCCUUCGGGUUGUGAACCUCUUUCGCCAGUGAAGCAGGCCUGCCUCGUUUGUGGGUGGGUUGACGGUAGCUGGAUAAGAAGCGCCGGCUAACUACGUG